RNAcentral lists this ribosomal RNA (446 nucleotides) under uncultured bacterium. RNAcentral's name for it is "partial 16S ribosomal RNA". It matches the Rfam family "Bacterial small subunit ribosomal RNA", at positions 338 to 795 of the family's 1533-position model. The record is from RNAcentral.
CCUACGGGGGGCAGCAGUCGAGAAUCAUUCACAAUGGGGGAAACCCUGAUGGUGCGACGCCGCGUGGGGGAAUGAAGGUCUUCGGAUUGUAAACCCCUGUCAUGUGGGAGCAAAUUAAAAAGAUAGUACCACAAGAGGAAGAGACGGCUAACUCUGUGCAAGCCGCCGCGGUAAUACAGUGGUCUCAAGCGUUGUUCGGAAUCACUGGGCGUAAGGCGUGCGGAGGCUGUUUCGUAAGUCGUGUGUGAAAGGCGCGGGCUCAACCCGCGGACGGCACAUGAUACUGCGAGACUAGAGUAAUGGAGGGGGAACCGGAAUUCUCGGUGUAGCAGUGAAAUGCGUAGAUAUCGAGAGGAACACUCGUGGCGAAGGCGGGUUCCUGGACAUUAACUGACGCUGAGGCACGAAGGCCAGGGGAGCGAAAGGGAUUAGAUAACCUAGUAGUC